AUCUUUUUAGUAUAUAUAAUAUAUUUGACUUCCAAUCAAAUGAUCUCAUAAGAGAAAAGAUA
This 62-nucleotide transfer RNA is filed under the name Eysarcoris gibbosus. RNAcentral describes it as "tRNA-Gly". The record is from RNAcentral. Lineage: Eukaryota; Metazoa; Arthropoda; Insecta; Hemiptera; Pentatomidae.